RNAcentral lists this ribosomal RNA (460 nucleotides) under uncultured bacterium. Its description in RNAcentral is "partial 16S ribosomal RNA". It matches the Rfam family "Bacterial small subunit ribosomal RNA", at positions 338 to 795 of the family's 1533-position model. The record is from RNAcentral.
CCUACGGGUGGCAGCAGUGAGGAAUAUUGGUCAAUGGACGAGAGUCUGAACCAGCCAAGUAGCGUGAAGGAUGACUGCCCUAUGGGUUGUAAACUUCUUUUAUAUGGGACUAAAAUGUUCCACGUGUGGGAUUUUGUAUGUACCAUAUGAAUAAGGAUCGGCUAACUCCGUGCCAGCAGCCGCGGUACUACGGAGGAUCCGAGCGUUAUCCGGAUUUAUUGGGUUUAAAGGGAGCGUAGGUGGAUUGUUAAGUCAGUUGUGAAAGUUUGCGGCUCAACCGUAAAAUUGCAGUUGAAACUGGCAGUCUUGAGUACAGUAGAGGUGGGCGGAAUUCGUGGUGUAGCGGUGAAAUGCUUAGAUAUAACGAAGAACUCCGAUUGCGAAGGCAGUUCACUGGACUGCAACUGACACUGAUGCUCGAAAGUGUGGGUAUCAAACAGGAUUAGAUACCCCUGUAGUC